Molecule: long non-coding RNA, 529 nt
Organism: Hemicordylus capensis (graceful crag lizard)
Lineage: Eukaryota; Metazoa; Chordata; Lepidosauria; Squamata; Cordylidae
Exons: 3
Source: RefSeq, a predicted model, not a curated record
UGUCGGUCACACAGAGGUUACUGGGACCUCAUCGAAGUGUGUAGGGCAUUGCAGAAAUCACACCCCAAGCGGAAGGAAACAAAGAACUCUGCUCUACCAGAAUUGAAGUGAAAUCAAACGCUUUCUCAACAAAAACCGAGGGAACAGAGACAAAAAUAUGAAGAAAUGCUUCAAGCAGGUCUCGGGCAUCUUCGGACAUUAUGGCAUUUUGCAAUGCAAUGGAGUAGCCAAACUAUUCUUGGCUCACCUUCUGAGAUCUUUUUCUCCAUUUUGGAAAUACAGUUGGGGAGACCACAAGCACCCGGCACAGGUCACAAUCACAUUCGGCCGCCCAGAGCAAUGCAGGCCAACAGCGACCACACCACCCAGGACAGACUCAAGAGGAUUUGGAGCCCCAGGACUCUGGCCCCAAAGUCCAAGGGUAAGCACCACUGACUGAAGAAGACCUCAAAGGCCAAGUUGAUCAUCCUGGAGAGAAUCUAUCUAUGUGGUUGCUAAGAGUCGACCCUGACUUGACAGCACACUGAAU